UGACGACCGGCGCACGGGUGAGUAACACGUAUCCAACCUACCCCCCUUACAGGGAUAGCCUUUCGAAAGAAAGAUUAAUACCCGAUCUUAUAGCGAUAAGGCAUCUUAUUGCUAUUAAAGAAUUUCGGUGUUUGAUGGGGAUGCGUUCCAUUAGAUUGUUGGUGAGGUAACGGCUCACCAAGUCUUCGAUGGAUAGGGGUUCUGAGAGGAAGGUCCCCCACAUUGGAACUGAGACACGGUCCAAACUCCUACGGGAGGCAGCAGUGAGGAAUAUUGGUCAAUGGACGAGAGUCUGAACCAGCCAAGUAGCGUGAAGGAUGAAGGCCCUAUGGGUCGUAAACUUCUUUUAUAGGGGAAUAAAGUGCGGAACGUGUUCCGUUUUGUAUGUACCCUACGAAUAAGGAUCGGCUAACUCCGUGCCAGCAGCCGCGGUAAUACGGAGGAUCCGAGCGUUAUCCGGAUUUAUUGGGUUUAAAGGGAGCGUAGGUGGACGUAUAAGUCAGUUGUGAAAGUUUGCGGCUCAACCGUAAAAUUGCAGUUGAUACUGUAUGUCUUGAGUGUACAAGAGGUGGGCGGAAUUCGUGGUGUAGCGGUGAAAUGCUUAGAUAUCACGAAGAACUCCGAUUG
This 627-nucleotide ribosomal RNA is filed under the name uncultured Bacteroides sp. RNAcentral describes it as "bacterial SSU rRNA". It matches the Rfam family "Bacterial small subunit ribosomal RNA", at positions 89 to 715 of the family's 1533-position model. The record is from RNAcentral. Lineage: Bacteria; Pseudomonadati; Bacteroidota; Bacteroidia; Bacteroidales; Bacteroidaceae.